CCGGGAACCCUCGGGGUGGUGGCAGACGGGUGAGUAACGCGUGGGAACCUUCCCUGUGGUGCGGAAUAGCUCCGGGAAACUGGAAUUAAUACCGCAUACGCCCUUCGGGGGAAAGAUUUAUCGCCAUAGGAUGGGCCCGCGUUGGAUUAGCUAGUUGGUGAGGUAAUGGCUCACCAAGGCUGCGAUCCAUAGCUGGUCUUAGAGGAUGAUCAGCCACACUGGGACUGAGACACGGCCCAGACUCCUACGGGAGGCAGCAGUGGGGAAUAUUGGACAAUGGGCGCAAGCCUGAUCCAGCCAUGCCGCGUGAGUGACGAAGGCCUUAGGGUUGUAAAACUCUUUUGGCGGGGACGAUAAUGACGGUACCCGCAGAAUAAGCCCCGGCUAACUUCGUGCCAGCAGCCGCGGUAAUACGAAGGGGGCUAGCGUUGUUCGGAAUCACUGGGCGUAAAGCGCACGUAGGCGGACUGGUCAGUUGGGGGUGAAAUCCCGGGGCUUAACCUCGGAACUGCCUUCAAUACUGCCAGUCUUGAGUCCGAGAGAGGUGAGUGGAAUUCCUAGUGUAGAGGUGAAAUCCGUAGAUAUUAGGAAGAACACCAGUGGCGAAGGCGGCUCACUGGCUCGGUACUGACGCUGAGGUGCGAAAAGC
Molecule: ribosomal RNA, 649 nt
Filed under: uncultured bacterium
Lineage: Bacteria
Description: bacterial SSU rRNA
Rfam family: Bacterial small subunit ribosomal RNA
Source: RNAcentral